This 370-nucleotide ribosomal RNA is filed under the name uncultured eukaryote. RNAcentral describes it as "partial 18S ribosomal RNA". It matches the Rfam family "Eukaryotic small subunit ribosomal RNA", at positions 592 to 976 of the family's 1831-position model. The record is from RNAcentral.
CAAUAGCGUAUAUUAAAGUUGUUGCAGUUAAAAAGCUCGUAGUUGGACCUUGGACCUGGACAGGCGGUCCGCCUCACGGCGUGUACUGUCUUGCUGGGUCUUUCCUCUUGGUGAUCUGUUGUUUCGGCAGCAGGGAACCAGGACUUUUACUUUGAAAAAAUUAGAGUGUUCAAAGCAGGCUCGACGCCGGAAUAUACUAGCAUGGAAUAAUAAAAUAGGACGUGCGGUUCUAUUUUGUUGGUUUUUGGAAUCGCCGUAAUGAUUAAUAGGGACAGUCGGGGGCAUUAGUACUCACAUGCUAGAGGUGAAAUUCUUGGAUUUUGUGAAGACUAACUUCUGCGAAAGCAUUUGCCAAGGAUGUUUUCAUUAA